ACACAAGAUGUAUCGUGGUUCACCCCAAGGUUUGGGCUACGUCCACACUGAUUAUAUUUAUCUGAGAGUAUUUGUGAGGGAGAGAGUGUGAGAGCUUUGCUCUAGAUAUGAGAGACUUAAGGUUUGUGAGGGUGAUGAGACCCUUUUAUAGAAUAAGGGCUCCUCCCCUAAUUACAUAUUUGCCCAUUUCUUUAUUACAUAAUUAUAUUUAAGUCCUCCGAAUAUUUAUACGAGAUCUAAAUACGAUGCCCUAAAUAUGGUAUAAACAUCGUGCAUAUCCAAUGUCGAGAGCUUCUUCAUUUCUUGAAGAGAACAACACAAGUUCCUUCCAUCUUUUUUAAAAUCGGUCGACCCCAGUUUCCUAAGACCUUUCAACUCUCAUAAUGCUGUUAUGAUUUUUCUAUUGUUUUUCACACUAAUUAAUGACAUCUCUUGUAUGGAGGAUAAAGAUGAAAUGCUGCUAUUAUUAUUGACAACUUCUGUUGUUUUUCUAUUGAUUUUUUUACUGUUAUUAUGAUUAUGAUUAUUAUUAUUAUUUUUAAAACACACUACCAGAAGUUUGGGGUUGCCCUACGAAAUCUUACCCCGACAAAAAAAAUCCGGCACCUAAAUCUGUUUUACCCAAACAAAUUGUUCGGUUAAUAUAGUCCACAUAUUUUGUUUACUCAAAAUCUUUGGGACACAUAUCACAUGAUGAGGGGUAAGCUGAGCAUAUACCAUUAUUAUGGUGGUGAGAAAAAAAUGCUCCCUAAAACCAGUAUUCCACAACCAAUAUACUAAAUUCAAGUUAAAUGUGAAUAAUUUGACUAUUAUAUUAAAAUGAAAAUUGCAUUGCAGAGUUAUUGUAAAAUGGAAACUACAAUGCAACGUAAAGCUAAUAAAUAAAAUAAAACCCAUUAAUUAGUCAAAAUCAAAAUAAUUGACUCUUUAUAUAUUCCUAACCACUAAAAAUACUAUUGAUUUUAACCUAAAUUCUGUUUUUUUAAGUCCUCACGGGUCAGCUUUACAAAGGGUAAACUUGUUUUAUAUAAUUUUAUUAAAGAAAAACUAAUGAAAAAGAUUUGAAAAUUUUGAGUUUUAACCCAAGGGACAAAAAUAUGUUGUAAGUAAAUAGUACCAGGAUCGACUUUUUAGAGUAAAAAUGUUUUUUUCGUUAAAAGUGAACAGUACCGAAAGUGUUUUGUUAAAACUCUCCUUUAUUAAAAGGUGAACAAAAUAAUUAGAUAUAGGGAUGGGAAUAAAAAUUAUUUUUAAUUUCUUUUUUCUUUGUCUAUCUCUUUAACCUUUAACAUUGUAUUUUUAAUGGCGACUUAGUGCUUUCUAAAAUCUUUAUGGGUGUGUUUGUUUGGGCUCACUAAGUUUCAUUGGACUGGACUGGAUUACUUAUUAGUGUAGUCCAGUGUUUGUUUCACACGAGGAUUAAGUUUAAUGGGAUUAGCCGGUAUUCUCUCUGACUAACCCCUUCGCUAAAAGUUCUUAGCGAGAACCCCCAAUUCUCACGGGAUUGCUAAGCCCGUCUUCGAGAGCGUUGCUCGCUCCUCAUUCUCGAUCGUCCUUCUUGCCGGUCGUCCUCCUUGCUCGUCCUACAACCUCGUCCGGCUUGUCCUCAUCUGGUAAAUUCCAAAUAUGACGACCUAUUUCUAUAAUUUUGUUUUGUAGAUUGUGAAAUUAUUAUUGGGUUCUGAUCGAUUUUUUUGUUUUGGGUUCAAAAUCUACAAAAUUAUUAAUGGGUUCUGAUUGAUUCCUCGUAUAAUCAUUUUAUUUAUGCUUAGAUAUACCUUCUUAUAAAUUGAAGAAAUCAAAAUCAGUUAUGAUUUCAAUGUUCGAUUGUGACGACCCGUCCCUAAUUUUACGUUUUUAUUAAUAUUAAAAGCAUGAAUUUACGAAAAUGCCCUAGAGGUAAGGACUUUGACUUCCGUUAAUCAUCGCUUAGAGAAAUGUAUGACUUAUUCUUUUAGUGUACCCUCGUAGUGCUCAUCGCUACGAACGCAUGAGCGCAUGUUAGACUCGAAUCAGAUCUGUAACGAAAAAGUUACACUCCGUUAAAGUACUUUGAAUACGACUAUUUUUUUACACUCACAUACAAAUUUACAGUAUCAUAACACUGUCAAGAGGACAUAUUUUGUACAUUAAAAAAUUAUUAUACAAAAUCUGAUAUGCAAUCCUCCCCUUGACUUUGUUGAUCCGUGUUCCCGACAUUUCACAUAUUCAACCAAUCAAAACCCUUAAAACCUUCUCAUUCUCUCAUUUUCCCGGAUUUCCUCACCACCAAUCACUUUUGUUCCCUCAAUUUGGCAUCCAAUCCGUGACCUUUACACUCAUACUAGUCACUAAUAAAAAAUAAAUAAAUAAAUUAGUUUUCUAUCUCUCUCCCCCGAAGGUCUCUCUUUCACUCUCUUUUCUCUGCAACAAGGAAGACCAACCCCCAAAUCUUCACCGUUCAAGCUUAAAAACCUUACCAUUGUGUUCACCUUACCUCCAUGAACACAACCAUACCAACCAAACUAAGAAUGGACAAGUUUUGACUCGCCAACUUGGAAGGUCCAAACUUGGACGAGUUGAGUUCGACGCGUUUU
This 2576-nucleotide long non-coding RNA is filed under the name Malus domestica (apple). RNAcentral's name for it is "long non-coding RNA (MDOM_LNC009521)". The record is from RNAcentral. Lineage: Eukaryota; Viridiplantae; Streptophyta; Magnoliopsida; Rosales; Rosaceae.